CUAAUAGUACAUAAAUAAUUUGAUUUUUAGUGGUCCAAAGGUAAUAUAUGAUCAUCAAUAUGGAUAUAGUUCACUCUGAAAGGCUUAAGAAAACCAUGCCUUUACAGCCUCUGCACCAAACACAAAAAUGUAACUGCUAACUUUCGAAUACAAAUGCCGCCGCGUGGCCACCUGCUCAAGUUGCUGUAAAACUUGCAUUUAGGUCUCCACUCAUUAGCAUUUUGGGAUGUGUGACCGUGCCUUAAUGUUCAUUUUUUAUAGGGGAGUAACGAUUUAUCGAAUUAAUCGAAUUGAUUCCUGUAUGAUCCAACCAGAUCUGAGGCAAGUUGUUUUUAGAAUCUCAGUUAGAAAUCAGUUAUGUUGAUAUUGGAAAGUACCCUUUGAUAGGGGUGUAACAGUUCAUCGAUUUAUACCCCUUUCAUCCAGUCAGAUCAAUCAGUCUGAGGUAGUCAAUCAAAUCGACCUUUACCAUUAUAAAAUCGUUUCAAAAUGAAAUGUAUCGAUAUUGUAAAAUAUCAUUUGGAUUGAGGCAUGGUAGAUAUAUUUUAUUAUAACCUAAAAAUGACCGUCACAGUGAACAACAUUCAUGUGAUGGCAGCAAAAAAUGAUCAAUCCAUCCUUAUAGUCCACUGUGUGGAAACACUGAAUUUGCAGACAUGUGACCAAACAAUGUGGUAGAAUGUUCCAAUAAUGUUCUGUUUGUAUUUUCUUGCUGUAGAAAAACAACAGUGGGGUGAACGCUAUGAAACUUAAAAGAUGACCUGGAUUGAUUUUAGGUCAGAGAAUCAGAUAUUAUGAUAUGAAUCAAAUCGUUAAAAUGAAUUGAUCCACUCAUAGGUUUUUUAGUUUUAACUUAGCUUUAACUUUUAGAUUGAAACAUUACUGAGUCAUUAAGAACUGUCACUGAAAGAAAGCAAAAAACCUAGGUAGAGAUAGUGGAGCUGCGUAGUGACUAGGGGCAUAAGACAUCUAAAUGAGGCUCAUUUAAAAAAAAA
This is a long non-coding RNA of Oryzias melastigma (Indian medaka), 995 nucleotides long. RefSeq lists it as uncharacterized. The transcript has 2 exons. The record is from RefSeq and is a predicted model, not a curated record. NCBI's taxonomy places the organism in Eukaryota, Metazoa, Chordata, Actinopteri, Beloniformes, Adrianichthyidae.